AAUGGGCGCAAGCCUGAUCCAGCCAUACCGCGUGUGUGAAGAAGGCCUUCGGGUUGUAAAGCACUUUAAGUAAGGAAGAAAAGAGUAUUGUUAAUACCAAUACUCCGUGACAUUACUUACAGAAUAAGGACCGGCUAAUUCCGUGCCAGCAGCCGCGGUAAUACGGAAGGUCCAAGCGUUAAUCGGAAUUACUGGGCGUAAAGCGCGCGUAGGUGGUUUAUUAAGUUGGGUGUGAAAGCCCCGGGCUCAACCUGGGAACUGCAUCCAAAACUGAUUCACUAGAGUACGAAAGAGGAAAGUAGAAUUCACAGUGUGGCGGUGGAAUGCGUAGAUAUUGUGAAGAAUACCGAUGGCGAAGGCAGCUUUCUGGUUCUGUACUGACACUGAGGUGCGAAAGCGUGGGUAGCGAACAGGAUU
This 417-nucleotide ribosomal RNA is filed under the name uncultured Gammaproteobacteria bacterium. Its description in RNAcentral is "bacterial SSU rRNA". It matches the Rfam family "Bacterial small subunit ribosomal RNA", at positions 370 to 779 of the family's 1533-position model. Lineage: Bacteria; Pseudomonadati; Pseudomonadota; Gammaproteobacteria. The record is from RNAcentral.